GACGAACGCUGGCGGCAUGCCUAAUACACGCAAGUCGAGCGAACAGAUGAAGUGCUUGCACUUCUGACGUUAGCGGCGAACGGGUGAGUAACACGUAAGGAAUCUACCUAUAAGCGGGGGAUAACAUUCGGAAACGGGUGCUAAUACCGCAUAAUAUCUUCUUCCGCAUGGAAGAAGAUUGAAAGACGGCUCUGCUGUCACUUAUAGAUGACCUUGCGGUGCAUUAGUUAGUUGGUGGGGUAAUGGCCUACCAAGACGAUGAUGCAUAGCCGGCCUGAGAGGGUGAUCGGCCACAUUGGGACUGAGACACGGCCCAAACUCCUACGGGAGGCAGCAGUAGGGAAUCUUCCGCAAUGGGCGAAAGCCUGACGGAGCAAUGCCGCGUGAGUGAAGAAGGCCUUCGGGUCGUAAAACUCUGUUAUAAGAGAAGAACAAAUUGUAGAGUAACUGCUACAGUCUUGACGGUAUCUUAUCAGAAAGCCACGGCUAACUACGUGCCAGCCGCCGCAGUAA
RNAcentral lists this ribosomal RNA (513 nucleotides) under uncultured bacterium. RNAcentral's name for it is "partial 16S ribosomal RNA". It matches the Rfam family "Bacterial small subunit ribosomal RNA", at positions 28 to 523 of the family's 1533-position model. The record is from RNAcentral.